RNAcentral lists this ribosomal RNA (119 nucleotides) under Pteropus alecto (black flying fox). Lineage: Eukaryota; Metazoa; Chordata; Mammalia; Chiroptera; Pteropodidae. The record is from RNAcentral.
GUCUAUGGCCAUGCCAUCCUGAACGUGCCCGAUCCCGUCUGAUCUCGGAAGCUAAGCAGGGUUGGGCCUGGUUAGUACUUGGACGAGAGACCACCUAGGAAGACCAGGUGCUGUAGGCA